GUAAUAAUUUUAUAGGUUUUUCUCACUGUCUAGACUGCGCCUCAAUUUCCAAAGAAGACAGGGGCCUCUGCGCAAGCUUCCUAAGACUCAGUGAACAUGAUCCGAGGACUGCAGGUUGAUUUAUAAAGGUUCCAGGGGCUCUUUAGAAAAAUACCACUGCCGAAGCGGUACGGGGCGAGAUCGGCCAUUAGAUCUUGAUCCGACGGUCUGGAUUACAUGGUGGCUAAACCGAAUAGGUGAGCGACCCAAACCGCACGAUCACUAUCCUAUGGCUACGAUGAAAACAAAGUCAUAAACUCCCAUAGUCGUUGAUCUGCCCACCCGUACACGAUCAUCCCCUGAGCAAAGCGCCACCUAGAUCUAAUCUCGAACGCCCAUAGCUCAUCCAACGGUUGGUGCCGCUUCUUCUUCCAUCGCCCAUAUCAACCGGUGGUAGGUCCCCACUGCGGCGGCGCCCUCAACGGCGAACCCCACCCCGGAGUUCGAGCAACCCUCCCCCCCCCCCCCCGCGAGCAACACCUAAACGUAGCUGAUAGCAAUGGGAUUCCACAGGAGGGUAACUCACCGGUAAUCGGCGCCCGGAGACGUUUGCCCGUGGCUCACGACGGAAUCGUGACACAGGGCGGUCGACGACGAGAAAUUAGACACCGUCCCUCCCUCGGUCUUGCCUAUGAGUGCAUCCACCGCAAGCACGAGCUCAGGCGGAACACACGGCUCCCACAUAGACGGCGCGGCAGCGCUGGCUGCAAGUGAACGUGAGUGCAGGCAGUCGACGAGGACGACACGGCUUUGCUUGUUUUAUGCGGAGGCCGAGAGCUAGCAACGGAUUCCCGGGUCUUGUGGCGGCGUGCGGCCAUUGCGGAGUUUGGGGCCACGCGGGCGAGAUCUGCGGGGAAGAAACGCCCUGACACGCGGGCCCAACGCGUCAGCGACAACAGCAAACGUGAUGGGCGAGCGGCUGACAUCACGACCCUACAUGGCAGUGUAAGGAGUUUGCAAGUUCGAGCAGGAGUCCCUGCCCAAUUGGGCCCAUGCGUCGGCGAUAGACUCCACGCACCGGUGCGCGUACUGAACGGUGGGGCCCGCGGGCAGAGAGUAAUGGGGGAAUUGCGAGUGUUUGGGCCGUGCGGAGGGGAAGUGGUGAAUGGGCCGGACGAGCGUAGGGGAAAGUAAAUGAAGAUGGGCCGAAUAGGCCGAACACAGCCCAAGCGCAUGUUUUCCCUAUUUUCUAUUUCCUUUUCUUCUCCUUUUUAUUUUUAAAUUUAAAAUUUGAAUUCAAAUUCUUGUAGUGAAUUUUUGUACCCAGUUUUAGAUGUAUGAUUUGAACAUGGCAUUAUGGAAUGAGUUUAUU
Long non-coding RNA from Zea mays, 1351 nucleotides. RefSeq lists it as uncharacterized. The transcript has 2 exons. The record is from RefSeq and is a predicted model, not a curated record. NCBI's taxonomy places the organism in Eukaryota, Viridiplantae, Streptophyta, Magnoliopsida, Poales, Poaceae.